This 473-nucleotide ribosomal RNA is filed under the name uncultured organism. RNAcentral's name for it is "partial 16S ribosomal RNA". It matches the Rfam family "Bacterial small subunit ribosomal RNA", at positions 332 to 797 of the family's 1533-position model. The record is from RNAcentral.
UACACUCCUGCGGGAGGCAGCAGUGGGGAAUUUUGGACAAUGGGCGAAAGCCUGAUCCAGCAAUGCCGCGUGAGUGAAGAAGGCCUUCGGGUUGUAAAGCUCUUUUGUCAGGGAAGAAACGGUGAGAGCUAAUAUCUCUUGCUAAUGACGGUACCUGAAGAAUAAGCACCGGCUAACUACGUGCCAGCAGCCGCGGUAAUACGUAGGGUGCAAGCGUUAAUCGGAAUUACUGGGCGUAAAGCGUGCGCAGGCGGUUUUGUAAGUCUGAUGUGAAAUCCCCGGGCUCAACCUGGGAAUUGCAUUGGAGACUGCAAGGCUAGAAUCUGGCAGAGGGGGGUAGAAUUCCACGUGUAGCAGUGAAAUGCGUAGAUAUGUGGAGGAACACCGAUGGCGAAGGCAGCCCCCUGGGUCAAGAUUGACGCUCAUGCACGAAAGCGUGGGGAGCAAACAGGAUUAGAUACCCCUGUAGUCCC